This 372-nucleotide unclassified non-coding RNA is filed under the name Hevea brasiliensis (rubber tree). Lineage: Eukaryota; Viridiplantae; Streptophyta; Magnoliopsida; Malpighiales; Euphorbiaceae. The record is from RNAcentral.
ACUGUUAUCUUGUUUCCACCACCAGUCCCUUCCAGAUGCACUCUUCAUCACUCUUUCACUCAUUUUCCCUCCAUUAGUCAAAUCUUUCCCACUCUCAAUACUAGCACCAUCAAAAUUUCCCUCUGGCGGCACUGCUAACCCACCUGCUUCCGGCGAGGCACUUACACUCUCUACCGUCUCCGGUGAUGUUGCAGAAAUUGAAACAGGUCCCUUAAGAAAGCUCUCCGGGGACUGUUCAACUCCCAAGCUGAACUCCUCGAACCCGGUAGUCAUACUUUCGGUCUCCACCAAAGAUCCAGAAUCCUCAAUCGGGACCCCAUUAUUACUCUCUAAUUCAGCCUUCUUCAACUCCGAUCCACCAUUCAUCUUCCC